CGAGCGAGCUGAAUUCAAAGAUUCCCUUCGGGGUGAUUUGUUGGACGCUAGCGGCGGAUGGGUGAGUAACACGUGGGCAAUCUGCCCUAAAGACUGGGAUACCACUUGGAAACAGGUGCUAAUACCGGAUAACAACAUGAAUCGCAUGAUUCAAGUUUGAAAGGCGGCGCAAGCUGUCACUUUAGGAUGAGCCCGCGGCGCAUUAGCUAGUUGGUGGGGUAAAGGCCUACCAAGGCAAUGAUGCGUAGCCGAGUUGAGAGACUGAUCGGCCACAUUGGGACUGAGACACGGCCAAAACCUCCU
RNAcentral lists this ribosomal RNA (303 nucleotides) under Lactobacillus delbrueckii. RNAcentral describes it as "bacterial SSU rRNA". The stretch from base 56 to 303 matches the Rfam family "Bacterial small subunit ribosomal RNA", at positions 100 to 341 of the family's 1533-position model. Lineage: Bacteria; Bacillati; Bacillota; Bacilli; Lactobacillales; Lactobacillaceae. The record is from RNAcentral.